RNAcentral lists this ribosomal RNA (637 nucleotides) under uncultured bacterium. RNAcentral's name for it is "bacterial SSU rRNA". The stretch from base 1 to 535 matches the Rfam family "Bacterial small subunit ribosomal RNA", at positions 338 to 873 of the family's 1533-position model. The record is from RNAcentral.
CCUACGGGAGGCAGCAGUGGGGAAUAUUGGACAAUGGGCGAAAGCCUGAUCCAGCAAUGCCGCGUGAGUGAUGAAGGCCUUAGGGUUGUAAAGCUCUUUUACCAGGGAUGAUAAUGACAGUACCUGGAGAAUAAGCUCCGGCUAACUCCGUGCCAGCAGCCGCGGUAAUACGGAGGGAGCUAGCGUUGUUCGGAAUUACUGGGCGUAAAGCGUGCGUAGGCGGUUAUUCAAGUCAGAGGUGAAAGCCCGGGGCUCAACCCCGGAACUGCCUUUGAAACUAGAUAACUAGAAUCUUGGAGAGGUUAGUGGAAUUCCGAGUGUAGAGGUGAAAUUCGUAGAUAUUCGGAAGAACACCAGUGGCGAAGGCGACUAACUGGACAAGCAUUGACGCUGAGGUACGAAAGCGUGGGGAGCAAACAGGAUUAGAUACCCUGGUAGUCCACGCCGUAAACGAUGAUAACUAGCUGUCCGGUCGACGUUGGUUGUCGUUGGGUUGGGUCGGCGACGCGUAACCGACAUUAAGUUUAAUUCCGUCCGUCGGGGUAGGGUACGGGUCGGUCGAGAAGUUAAACUAACAAAUAGAAGUUAAGUACGGUCGUUGAGACGUUGCCGAACGGCGACGACGAGGGAGGUUAGG